This is a long non-coding RNA of Cercocebus atys (sooty mangabey), 224 nucleotides long. RefSeq lists it as uncharacterized. The transcript has 3 exons. NCBI's taxonomy places the organism in Eukaryota, Metazoa, Chordata, Mammalia, Primates, Cercopithecidae. The record is from RefSeq and is a predicted model, not a curated record.
CUUGCCGGAUUCCAUUUCCCAGAAGUCGCCGCGGGGCUCUGUUUCUGGCCAGUCUUUCAUUCCUGUCGCCAGGCAGGGGCAGGGAUCACGAGGUGCUCAGUGAAGGAGCUUCUGAACCAGGAGAAGGAAUUUCACAAGGGACACAGAACAAGGUGAAAAGGACACUGAAGAUGCAGAAAGCGGAGGCAAGCCAGAAGGCUCCGUAGGGCCUGAGGACCUCCUGC